RNAcentral lists this ribosomal RNA (700 nucleotides) under uncultured cyanobacterium. RNAcentral describes it as "bacterial SSU rRNA". It matches the Rfam family "Bacterial small subunit ribosomal RNA", at positions 56 to 798 of the family's 1533-position model. Lineage: Bacteria; Bacillati; Cyanobacteriota. The record is from RNAcentral.
UGCAAGUCGUACGAAGGCUUUUAGCCUUAGUGGCGGACGGGUGAGUAACACGUGAGAAUCUGCCCUUAGGAGGAGGAUAACAGCUGGAAACGGUUGCUAAUACUCCAUAUGCCGAGAGGUGAAAGGAUUUAUCUACCUAAGGAGGAGCUCGCGUCUGAUUAGCUAGUUGGUAGGGUAAUGGCCUACCAAGGCGACGAUCAGUAGCUGGUUUGAGAGGAUGAUCAGCCACACUGGGACUGAGACACGGCCCAGACUCCUACGGGAGGCAGCAGUAGGGAAUUUUCCGCAAUGGGCGAAAGCCUGACGGAGCAAUACCGCGUGAGGGAUGACGGCCUGUGGGUUGUAAACCUCUUUUCUCAAGGAAGAAGUUCUGACGGUACUUGAGGAAUAAGCAUCGGCUAACUCUGUGCCAGCAGCCGCGGUAAUACAGAGGAUGCAAGCGUUAUCCGGAAUCACUGGGCAUAAAGCGUCUGUAGGUGGUUUGGUAAGUCUGCCGUUAAAGACUGGGGCUCAACCCCAGAAAAGCAGUGGAAACUGCUAGACUUGAGUGUGGUAGAGGUAGAGGGAAUUCCUAGUGUAGCGGUGAAAUGCGUAGAUAUUAGGAAGAACACCAAUGGCGAAGGCACUCUACUGGACCAUAACUGACACUGAGAGACGACAGCUAGGGGAGCAAAUGGGAUUAGAUACCCCAGUAGUCCUA